GUAGGGUCGUGUCCCCUUAUUCGGGCA
This 27-nucleotide non-coding RNA is filed under the name Rattus norvegicus (Norway rat). Lineage: Eukaryota; Metazoa; Chordata; Mammalia; Rodentia; Muridae. The record is from RNAcentral.